GACGAACGCUGGCGGCGUGCUUAACACAUGCAAGUCGAACGGAAAGGCCCUGCUUUUGUGGGGUGCUCGAGUGGCGAACGGGUGAGUAACACGUGAGUAACCUGCCCUUGACUUUGGGAUAACUUCAGGAAACUGGGGCUAAUACCGGAUAGGAGCUCCUGCUGCAUGGUGGGGGUUGGAAAGUUUCGGCGGUUGGGGAUGGACUCGCGGCUUAUCAGCUUGUUGGUGGGGGAGUGGCUUACCAAGGCUUUGACGGGUAGCCGGCCUGAGAGGGUGACCGGCGACAUUGGGACUGAGAUACGGCCCAGACUCCUACGGGAGGCAGCAGUGGGGAAUAUUGCACAAUGGGCGGAAGCCUGAUGCAGCAACGCCGCGUGCGGGAUGACGGCCUUCGGGUUGUAAACCGCUUUCGCCUGUGACGAAGCGUGAGUGACGGUAAUGGGUAAAGAAGCACCGGCUAACUACGUG
RNAcentral lists this ribosomal RNA (468 nucleotides) under uncultured bacterium. RNAcentral's name for it is "partial 16S ribosomal RNA". It matches the Rfam family "Bacterial small subunit ribosomal RNA", at positions 28 to 507 of the family's 1533-position model. The record is from RNAcentral.